Small nuclear RNA from Nycticebus coucang (slow loris), 103 nucleotides. NCBI's taxonomy places the organism in Eukaryota, Metazoa, Chordata, Mammalia, Primates, Lorisidae. The record is from RefSeq and is a predicted model, not a curated record.
UUGCUUGGGCAGCACAUACACUAAAAUUGGAACAGAAUAGAGAAGAUUAGCAUGGCCCCUGUGCUAGGAUGACACACAAAUUCGUGAAGCAUUUCAUAUUUUU